UGGGGAAUAUUGCACAAUGGGCGAAAGCCUGAUGCAGCAACGCCGCGUGAGUGAUGAAGGUCUUCGGAUUGUAAAGCUCUGUCUUUUGGGACGAUAAUGACGGUACCAAAGGAGGAAGCCACGGCUAACUACGUGCCGGCAGCCGCGGUAAUACGUAGGUGGCGAGCGUUGUCCGGAUUUACUGGGCGUAAAGGGUGCGUAGGCGGAUGUUUAAGUGAGAUGUGAAAUACCCGGGCUUAACUUGGGUGCUGCAUUUCAAACUGGAUAUCUAGAGUGCAGGAGAGGAGAAUGGAAUUCCUAGUGUAGCGGUGAAAUGCGUAGAGAUUAGGAAGAACACCAGUGGCGAAGGCGAUUCUCCGGACUGUAACUGACGCUGAGGCACGAAAGCGUGGGUAGCAAACAGGAUUAGAUACCCUGGUAGUCCACGCCGUAAACGAUGAGUACUAGGUGUAGGAGGUAUCGACCCCUUCUGUGCCGCAGUAAACACAUUAAGUACUCCGCCUGGGAAGUACGAUCGCAAGAUUAAAACUCUAAAGUGAAUUGAC
RNAcentral lists this ribosomal RNA (545 nucleotides) under uncultured bacterium. Its description in RNAcentral is "partial 16S ribosomal RNA". It matches the Rfam family "Bacterial small subunit ribosomal RNA", at positions 355 to 914 of the family's 1533-position model. The record is from RNAcentral.